AAAAUUCUAAGAACUAAAUAAGAAACAUGGGUUAAUGACAGGACUGGCUUGAGGACACAGACUUCAGCGCAGAUGGGGACCUGGAUCCCAGCAGAACUGGCUCCCCUAGGCAGUGGUUCUAGGAAAAUGGAUGGAACUCUGCUAAGAGAAAUGCCAACAAAAGGCCCAGAGGAAGAGAGAGAGCAAGACCCCAUGGAAGAUUCGGAUGUUCGUCUGGGUGGAAGAGUCCAAAGCGGAUGUACCAGCAUGUUGUUAGCACACACACACCCUUGUGGGAAGAGGAGCAGCUGAGGUGACCAGGAGGUGACGGAUGCUCUCACUCUUCAUCACGAAAUAUUCAGAGAACACCGUUCCAGCUCCUUGAGAUCUACGGUGUCCAGAGCAACCCCAGAUUCCUCUAUCAUCAUAAAUCCCUGACUAAAAGAAAGCAGCCAGAAGAUUUUCCCCUGUGAAAUGGCCCAAAGUCAUUCCAUCAGUCCUUCUCAAAGAUGCACUGGGUGCCCUUCAUCAUUAUCACAUUAUAAAUGAAUUUGUUAAGAAAUAUGUGCUUACUGACUACAAUGUGCCAGUCACUGUGCUAGAUGCUUGGGAUGUAGCAAUGAAUAAACAAACCUAUCAAGAUUCCUGCCCUCAGGGAGGUGACAGUCUCUCAGGGGAGACAGACACACAAUAACGACAGGAAGUAAAUUAAAUGGCAUGUUAGAAGGUGAUGGAACUAAAUAAAGAAAAGAAAGGAAAAGCCAUCAUUUACUUCAUCAUUCAUUUUUCAGUUUUCCUUUAGCCCCAACAUUCAGAGUCCCCCCAAAUAUUUUCUCCGUAUUAUAAUUUCUUAUUCUUUAGUUUUUUCAUUACUAGCAUGACUAGAGUAUUGCUUGAGACUGAUUUCAUUCUAUGAAUACACUUUAUGCAUUAUGUAAUGUGGAAGUGCCUGGGCUCUGUUCAGUGAAACAUUUUCUAAAUUUUCCUUUCAAUACUUCCAUGAGUUGGGCAGAAAGAGCAUCAUUACGCCCAUUUUACAGACAAAAAGCCCAAGGUUCAUGGAGUCUUUGAAAAGUUGGGUGUCUUGAUUUUUUUUCCCAGUAUUCUUUUGUAGACUUACGUAGGAAGUAUUUUUGGUAUAUUCUCUGUGGGAAAAAGUGUUAGAAAUUUCAAACAAUUGACUUCAAAACAAACCUGGCUAUUUGUUGGCAACUUCUUUUUUUUUUUUUUUCCUGAGAUGGAGUCUCACUCUGGCAUCCAGGCUGGAGUGCAGUGGCACGAUCUCGGCUCACUGCAACCUCUGCCUCCCGGGUUCAAGUGAUUCUCCUGCCUCAGCCUCCUGAGUAGCUGGGAUUACAGGUGUGCGCCACCAGGCCUGGCUAAUUUUUAUAUUUUUAGUAAAGAGGAGGUUUCACCAUGUUGGCCAGGCUAGUCUUGAACUGGCUGGUCUUGAACCCCUCGUGAUCCACCCGCCUUGGCCUCCCAAAGUGCUAGGAUUACAGGUGUGAGCCACUGUGCCCAGGUGGCAACUUCCAAUAUAGUGAUUAAGUAGGUUCACACCUGAUGGCAUAUUUCCAUUUCCGGGAAAGUGAUGGUUAAAAAGAAAUCUACUUACAUUGUGUGCUUGAUUGUUACCACUGUGGUUCCUGAUACUGGGUUAUCCUUAUCGGCC
This 1651-nucleotide long non-coding RNA is filed under the name Macaca mulatta (Rhesus monkey). Its description in RNAcentral is "lncRNA (ENSMMUG00000061200.1)". Lineage: Eukaryota; Metazoa; Chordata; Mammalia; Primates; Cercopithecidae. The record is from RNAcentral.